UGCACUCACUACUGUAAGUCUCUCUGGAUAAGAGUGUCUGCUAAAUGACUAAAA
Molecule: non-coding RNA, 54 nt
Organism: Salmo salar (Atlantic salmon)
Lineage: Eukaryota; Metazoa; Chordata; Actinopteri; Salmoniformes; Salmonidae
Source: Rfam